RNAcentral lists this ribosomal RNA (468 nucleotides) under uncultured bacterium. RNAcentral describes it as "partial 16S ribosomal RNA". It matches the Rfam family "Bacterial small subunit ribosomal RNA", at positions 28 to 507 of the family's 1533-position model. The record is from RNAcentral.
GACGAACGCUGGCGGCGUGCUUAACACAUGCAAGUCGAACGGAAAGGCCCUGCUUUUGUGGGGUGCUCGAGUGGCGAACGGGUGAGUAACACGUGAGUAACCUGCCCUUGACUUUGGGAUAACUUCAGGAAACUGGGGCUAAUACCGGAUAGGAGCUCCUGCUGCAUGGUGGGGGUUGGAAAGUUUCGGCGGUUGGGGAUGGACUCGCGGCUUAUCAGCUUGUUGGUGGGGUAGUGGCUUACCAAGGCUUUGACGGGUAGCCGGCCUGAGAGGGUGACCGGCCACAUUGGAACUGAGAUACGGCCCAGACUCCUACGGGAGGCAGCAGUGGGGAAUAUUGCACAAUGGGCGGAAGCCUGAUGCAGCAACGCCGCGUGCGGGAUGACGGCCUUCGGGUUGUAAACCGCUUUCGCCUGUGACGAAGCGUGAGUGACGGUAAUGGGUAAAGAAGCACCGGCUAACUGCGUG